Molecule: ribosomal RNA, 460 nt
Filed under: uncultured bacterium
Lineage: Bacteria
Description: partial 16S ribosomal RNA
Rfam family: Bacterial small subunit ribosomal RNA
Source: RNAcentral
CCUACGGGUGGCAGCAGUGAGGAAUAUUGGUCAAUGGGCGUAAGCCUGAACCAGCCAAGUCGCGUGAGGGAUGAAGGUUCUAUGGAUCGUAAACCUCUUUUAUAAGGGAAUAAAGUGUGGGACGUGUCCUGUUUUGUAUGUACCUUAUGAAUAAGGAUCGGCUAACUCCGUGCCAGCAGCCGCGGUAAUACGGAGGAUCCGAGCGUUAUCCGGAUUUAUUGGGUUUAAAGGGUGCGUAGGCGGCCUUUUAAGUCAGCGGUGAAAGUCUGUGGCUCAACCAUGGAAUUGCCGUUGAAACUGGGAGGCUUGAGUAUGUUUGAGGCAGGCGGAAUGCGUGGUGUAGCGGUGAAAUGCUUAGAUAUCACGCAGAACCCCGAUUGCGAAGGCAGCCUGCCAAGCCAAGACUGACGCUGAGGCACGAAAGCGUGGGGAUCAAACAGGAUUAGAUACCCCAGUAGUC